GUAAUAGCUCACUGGUCGAGUCGGCCUGCGCGGAAGAUGUAACGGGGCUAAACCAUGCACCGAAGCUGCGGCAGCGACGCUUAUGCGUUGUUGGGUAGGGGAGCGUUCUGUAAGCCUGCGAAGGUGUACUGUGAGGUAUGCUGGAGGUAUCAGAAGUGCGAAUGCUGACAUAAGUAACGAUAAAGCGGGUGAAAAGCCCGCUCGCCGGAAGACCAAGGGUUCCUGUCCAACGUUAAUCGGGGCAGG
This 246-nucleotide ribosomal RNA is filed under the name Escherichia coli. RNAcentral describes it as "partial 23S ribosomal RNA". It matches the Rfam family "Bacterial large subunit ribosomal RNA", at positions 1134 to 1378 of the family's 2925-position model. The record is from RNAcentral. Lineage: Bacteria; Pseudomonadati; Pseudomonadota; Gammaproteobacteria; Enterobacterales; Enterobacteriaceae.